This is a long non-coding RNA of Amblyraja radiata (thorny skate), 737 nucleotides long. RefSeq lists it as uncharacterized. The record is from RefSeq and is a predicted model, not a curated record. The transcript has 3 exons. NCBI's taxonomy places the organism in Eukaryota, Metazoa, Chordata, Chondrichthyes, Rajiformes, Rajidae.
GUAACUACCACAAUGGCCACAAAGUGAAAUACAACUACAUUUAACAAUGCUCAAGAGGCCAGGAAUGGAGGAGCAUGACAUCUGAAGGAGCUGAAAGAGAUACGGACAGAUGAGUCGAUGUAGAUUGACAAAGAUCACUUGUGUAGAGCGAACAGGACCAACAAUGCAAAUUAAUUGUUGCCGUUUCCUCAGACUGAACUCUUAAUAUGGCUGAUAUUAACAGACCAUAAGGAUGUUGCCAAGGUACAGAUUAACGGUCCUGACCUGCUGCAAGAGGGCUGCGAACGGUGAGAGGGCUGAACUCUAGAUAACCAUUUUGAUGCAGCAAAUAAGAAGAAACCAUUCCACCACAAUCUCUCUCUGUUAAUGUUUGCAGAUUGAACUAUGUCCGUAUAAGCAAAGCAGCGUGCAGAGAUUGUGCCUACUUUGCAAACAUUGCAUAAGCUUUUUUUGUGAAAAUUACCCAUGGGGCUUCCAUCAGAAAAUGCAUUCCAUAUGCAGUGCAGGUUGUAUUGCUUAAUGGAUAAUCUGUUUUCUGGCAGAAAAUGGACCAAUAACUGGGUUUGAAUGUGAACUUUAUAACUAUUGCAUUUUGAUGAUUAUAUUUCCAUUCACAAUGCCAACUGUUGGAAAUAUUCUCACCUCUCUGAGUUUUGGAUGCUAUUCAGUCAUAUAUAAAAGUGAGAUUUGAUAUCUCAGAGUAAGAGUGCCUUUGUUAAUAAAACCUCAGCAAUUCA